Molecule: non-coding RNA, 288 nt
Organism: Megalopta genalis
Lineage: Eukaryota; Metazoa; Arthropoda; Insecta; Hymenoptera; Halictidae
Source: RefSeq, a predicted model, not a curated record
GUUUCAUACAAUAUUGCUGGUUCAGCCAGGCAAUAGACCCGAAACACGGACAUAUUCUGAUUAUGAAACCGUUAAUGAAUGUAUGGAAGAACUUCACUGUAAAAGUUGAAAUUGCCGAUGACGUCAAGGAAUGUUUGCAGUGUUAAGGGUUGACACAUUUACGUUAUUAUUAAAAAUUUAUUAUAUAUCAUAGAAAUCAUGCAUACUUACAGUGACUAUUUCUUAAAAUUGUUACGUUGAUUUUCGUAAUGGAUUUGUGAAAUUAUAUUCAAUUGUUCUUUUAACAUA